UACGGAGGGUGCGAGCGUUAAUCGGAAUUACUGGGCGUAAAGCGCACGUAGGCGGUCGGAUAAGUCGGAUGUGAAAGCCCUGGGCUUAACCUGGGAACUGCAUUCGAUACUGCCCGGCUAGAGUAUGGGAGAGGGAAGCGGAAUUUCCGGUGUAGCGGUGAAAUGCGUAGAUAUCGGAAGGAACACCAAUGGCGAAGGCAGCUUCCUGGCCCAAUACUGACGCUCAGGUGCGAAAGCGUGGGGAUCAAACAGG
This 253-nucleotide ribosomal RNA is filed under the name uncultured bacterium. RNAcentral describes it as "partial 16S ribosomal RNA". It matches the Rfam family "Bacterial small subunit ribosomal RNA", at positions 524 to 776 of the family's 1533-position model. The record is from RNAcentral.